This is a long non-coding RNA of Clupea harengus (Atlantic herring), 447 nucleotides long. The record is from Ensembl. NCBI's taxonomy places the organism in Eukaryota, Metazoa, Chordata, Actinopteri, Clupeiformes, Clupeidae.
CUAACGCCCUAAGUAUUGAUGGCAUUGAACGAAGAAAACACUCGAAGCGUUUCAAAACGUCACCGAUAAUGAGAAAGUGGAUGGGUUCAGGCUGGCCAGUAGGCAGAAGUGAGGAGUUUGAGAACCGGAGGAACCAAUCAGUGUACUGCGAGAACCCUCAGGGAGUGGACUACUGUGACCAGCGUGCGACUCCAAGAGCCAAGCCCCCCGUGCGUCACCGCGACAGCUCCCCCCUGGCGCACGCCCAGCAGCGGCCCUCGCUGUCCGACAGGAAGUCCGCCCCCCUGGACAGGAAGCAGGGCAGCCCAUCGGUCCUGCGUAAGUUUGGCGCCAUGCUUCAGGAGAACGAGGGCAAGCUGCUGACGGACGCGGGCGUGGUGGCGCCCUCCCCUCCCCCAUCUGUAGCCAACUCCUCCCCGCUCAGCCCCCGCCGCUCACACACACGCA